RNAcentral lists this ribosomal RNA (465 nucleotides) under Vreelandella stevensii. Its description in RNAcentral is "partial 16S ribosomal RNA". It matches the Rfam family "Bacterial small subunit ribosomal RNA", at positions 338 to 795 of the family's 1533-position model. The record is from RNAcentral. Lineage: Bacteria; Pseudomonadati; Pseudomonadota; Gammaproteobacteria; Oceanospirillales; Halomonadaceae.
CCUACGGGCGGCAGCAGUGGGGAAUAUUGGACAAUGGGGGCAACCCUGAUCCAGCCAUGCCGCGUGUGUGAAGAAGGCCCUCGGGUUGUAAAGCACUUUCAGUGAGGAAGAACGCCUGGUGGUUAAUACCCAUCAGGAAAGACAUCACUCACAGAAGAAGCACCGGCUAACUCCGUGCCAGCAGCCGCGGUAAUACGGAGGGUGCGAGCGUUAAUCGGAAUUACUGGGCGUAAAGCGCGCGUAGGUGGCUUGAUAAGCCGGUUGUGAAAGCCCCGGGCUCAACCUGGGAACGGCAUCCGGAACUGGCAACCUAGAGUGCGGGAGAGGAAGGUAGAAUUCCCGGUGUAGCGGUGAAAUGCGUAGAGAUCGGGAGGAAUACCAGUGGCGAAGGCGGCCUUCUGGACUGACACUGACACUGAGGUGCGAAAGCGUGGGUAGCAAACAGGAUUAGAUACCCUAGUAGUC